Molecule: small RNA, 279 nt
Filed under: Pan troglodytes (chimpanzee)
Lineage: Eukaryota; Metazoa; Chordata; Mammalia; Primates; Hominidae
Description: Metazoan signal recognition particle RNA (ENSPTRG00000039732.2)
Source: RNAcentral
GCCGGGCGUGGUGGCUCAUGCCUGUAAUCCCAGCACUUUGGGAGGCCAAGGUGGGCGGAUCACUGGAGGCCAGGAGUUCGAGACCAGCCUGGCCAACAUGGCAAAACCCUGUCUCUACUAAAAAUACAAAAAUUAGCCGGGCGUGGUGGCGGAUGCCUGUAAUCCCAGCUACUCAGGAGGCUGAGGCAGAAGAAUUGCUUGAACCCAGGAGGUGGAUGCAGUGAGCCAAAAUUGUGCCACUGUACUCCAGCCUGGGCAACAGAGUGAGACUCCAUCUUA